AUAACGACUCUCGGCAACGGAUAUCUCGGCUCACGCAUCGAUGAAGAACGUAGCAAAAUGCGAUACUUGGUGUGAAUUGCAGAAUCCCGUGAACCAUCGAGUUUUUGAACGCAAGUUGCGCCCGAAGCCAUCUGGUUGAGGGCACGUCUGCCUGGGYGUCACGC
This 164-nucleotide ribosomal RNA is filed under the name Rudbeckia fulgida. RNAcentral's name for it is "5.8S ribosomal RNA". It matches the Rfam family "5.8S ribosomal RNA". Rfam says of the family: 5.8S ribosomal RNA (5.8S rRNA) is a component of the large subunit of the eukaryotic ribosome. It is transcribed by RNA polymerase I as part of the 45S precursor that also contains 18S and 28S rRNA. Lineage: Eukaryota; Viridiplantae; Streptophyta; Magnoliopsida; Asterales; Asteraceae. The record is from RNAcentral.